AUCCUUCAGUUCAUAAGUGUGAUGAUUGGGUGUUCAUGCUAUUGUGUGAGAUGUGCCUCCCUCUAAACUUUGUUACAACAUUGGCACAUUACCUGCCUAACA
Molecule: non-coding RNA, 102 nt
Organism: Ictidomys tridecemlineatus (thirteen-lined ground squirrel)
Lineage: Eukaryota; Metazoa; Chordata; Mammalia; Rodentia; Sciuridae
Source: Rfam